GGUGGUGUAGCUCAAACGGUAGAGCGCGCGCUUAGCACGCGCGAGGUAUCGGGAUCGAUACCCGGCACCUCCG
Ciona savignyi (Pacific transparent sea squirt) is the source of this 73-nucleotide non-coding RNA. Lineage: Eukaryota; Metazoa; Chordata; Ascidiacea; Phlebobranchia; Cionidae. The record is from Rfam.